This 406-nucleotide ribosomal RNA is filed under the name uncultured bacterium. RNAcentral's name for it is "partial 16S ribosomal RNA". It matches the Rfam family "Bacterial small subunit ribosomal RNA", at positions 30 to 526 of the family's 1533-position model. The record is from RNAcentral.
AUUGAACGCUGGCGGCAGGCCUAACACAUGCAAGUCGAACGCGUGGCGGACGGGUGAGUAAUGUCUGGGAAACUGCCCGAUGGAGGGGGAUAACUACUGGAAACGUUAGCUACUACCGCAUACCAUCGGAUGUGCCCAGAUGGGAUUAGCUAGUAGGUGGGGUAACGGCUCACCUAGGCGACGAUCCCUAGCUGGUCUUAGAGGAUGACCAGCAACACUGGAACUGAGACACGGGCCAGACUCCUACGGGAGGCAGCAGUGGGGAAUAUUGCACAAUGGGCGCAAGCCUGAUGCAGCCAUGCCGCGUGUAUGAAGAAGGCCUUCGGGGUGUAAAGUACUUUCAGCGAGGAGGCGUGACUCGCAGAAGAAGCACCGGCUAACUCCGUGCCAGCAGCCGCGGUAAUUC